UUUUCUUCUUCUUCUCCAAACCACCCAAACCCUAAACCACACCCUUCAAUCACUGCUCCUCCACACCAGCAGUCCACCCCCAUCAAAAAACGACCCCUGGAACCAGUAGCAGCGGACAGCUGAGCCGUUGCUGCUGCGUCGUCAUCUUUAUCCCGUUUCUAGCCCAUGUCGUUGAAACCAACCAUAAUUACCAUAACCUCCCAAGCAGCCCAGCUCACGGCCAUCCAUCUCCUUCGGGAACUAGUCCAAGCGACCACCUCAAAACCCACCAGCCCUCACGUCCCAAAUGAACCAACGCCAACAUCCCCCUCAACGGUGGAAAAACAGAAUGAGAGACCACAUCAAGUCGCGUUCAAGCAGUUCGUUGCCCCCUUCCAGCUCCAUCUACCUCAUUGUGACAACCUAGACGAACUGCAGCCGUGAAACCUACUCCAAAUGCCAGCUCCACUGGCACGCCGUCAACCAGCCCUAUCAGGAACAACCGAGUAACAUUUUUCUUCUAUAAUUUCUCGAUGGCUAAGGAAAGCAGCGAUGUGUAUACGAGUGAUGGUGCCGUUUACAGUAGUAACGUAUUGGGACGUGCUUUUGGUUUCUUAAUUCGCGAUCUUGUUCGAGGUCAGCUAACUUGGUACUGUCCAUUGGUUUUCCGGUUCAAAACCUUGUUUCCGGUUUGAAGUUUUAAUUUGUUCAAAGGUCCGCUUCUGCUUCGCUCAUUUCCCCAAUCAUCAAUCUACAUAGUUCAUGUGCACGUUUUCUUUGUUUUUAUAAUUUUAAUGAAUAUGCAAAUAUCCUAUUAAGUGUUCUCUGUGCUCAAUCUUAAAAUUGAAGUCGCUUGAGAAUAGGGGAUUCUCAUAAUCUGUUACUUUAGAAUCUGUUAGUAUAGAUUAAUUUAGUGAUAGUUAUGGUUUAUUUAAUUAAUUUAGUUGGGAUUGAAUCAAUUGGAUUGGUUUCCAUUCAUGACUCUGUAUGUUGUUUAGUCAUAACAAAAUUUCAAUAUGUUUAAAAUAGAUAUAAGUUCCUAAGAAAAGAAAGCAGAUUGCUUUUAGGUCGUAGGAUGGAAUUGCAGGACUGUGAUACUGGGAUUUAUAUUUUCCAUUAUUCCGCAUAUUUGAAAACAUAUUUCACAAAGCCAAGGGAGUAUUUUUUGGUUCAUAAAUUGCUUAGCUUAUGUCCUAUACGUGUAGAUUGAUUUUACUGUUAUAAAAAGUUAUUGUUGGCAUGUGGAAGAUUUGAAUCUUUUGUGACUUGGUGUCUUGGUAUAAGAUAUUAGCCAAAUGAAUAGUUUAUGACCCUUGUAACCUUAAUUAAGAAUUAUUUAAUUGGAGUGCUUUGUCCACUAGAUUAAAGUAUUAUUAAAAUAAUAUAGUGAAGGACAAGACAUGUGGGUAGCAUAAUGAUGCAAAGUAAAAAGAGGGUAGACAGUGGGGUCCACGUUUGACUGCUUUUGCUGAUUGGGAAUUAGAAAUAGAAGGUAAUAAUAAAAGGGGAGGAAUAAUAAUAAAAGGGUAGGAGAAAAGGUUCUUGCUUUUGGAUAUAAUUAGAAGUCAUUUUGUCACUUAAGUGAGGAGAAAAUUUAGAGAGAAAAAAUAUUUUCAGUACUAGAGGGAAAUAAAAAAAUUCAGAUUCAGUCUUUGAGAAUUAAAAACUGAAAGUGAAGUCUUUAUUUUCUGCUAAAAGUCAGAACACUAUUACUACUUCUGUGGUUUGCAUUUGGCACUGCUGAUUUUCGGAUUGAAUUCUUGGGUUCCUGCUUGGGUUUCUGAUAUAGGUGUUGCUGUAGGAUUAUUUUUGAAUCAGUUUAUUGGAUGUGGAAUCAUCUCUGUUGGUUUUAAAAUUUGUUCCUGGGUGUUCAAUUUGCUACUGCUGUUGAUGUUUGUUAUUGUUCUUUGCUACUGCUGAUCCUUUUCUUUUCCUGUCUUAUUUCUCUAAUCCAGGUAUUCACUUGAGUUAAAUACUGGUGUACCCGUGCAGUUGAGCAUGAGUUGAAAUGUGAAGACUUUUUAUUAUGAAAUAUUGUACCUCUAGUUUAAUAGAUAAAAUNNNNNNNNNNNNNNNNNNNNNNNNNNNNNNNNNNNNNNNNNNNNNNNNNNNNNNNNNNNNNNNNNNNNNNNNNNNNNNNNNNNNNNNNNNNNNNNNNNNNNNNNNNNNNNNNNNNNNNNNNNNNNNNNNNNNNNNNNNNNNNNNNNNNNNNNNNNNNNNNNNNNNNNNUGUAGUUGUUUAGUUAUAUAUUUAAUAUAGUUAUGUGAUUUGUAGGAAUGAACAUGUAGUUAGUAGAUCGAUAACUAGAUUUCAUCCUUAGUCGUCUUUACAUAUAUAAGGUAAUUCGGAAUCACCUUCAAUUCAAAUUGGUAUAUAGCAAAUAUGGAGAAUCGAUUUAACUUAAUUGGUUGGUAUGAUCUGGCUCUGAAAUUGUGAAUAUUGGAAUAAGAAGUAAUUUGAAAUUGGUGAUUUUUGAAUCUUGUUACUAACAAAGAUCCGCAAGUAUUAGGAAAAUGUAGUUGGGUAUUAAUUUAUUAGAAUCAAGAUGUAGCAAGGGAUAAAGUUAAUUUAAUACGCAUGAUUUGAGUUCAAGCAACAUGGUUUGAUGUUUAGAUUUAAUAAACUUUCGAAUAAGCAUUAAUUAUUAAGGUUGAUUUUAGUUUUAAAUAGUUGUAAAUAAUUGACGGUUUAUUCAUAUAAAUAUGCGGGUUUUAAUCUAAUUAUCAUUGAUUUCUUUUGAAUAUUAGUUGUCGAAUUUCGUAUUUUAUUAUAAAUUUAAAUUUUUUUAUUUUAUUCAUAAUUUCAAAUUCUUUUUUUUAGUAAAAUUCUUUUCCUUUAAUGUUUGACUUAAUUUGGCAAUUAGUGUGUUCCCUUUUUUUUUUGUUAAGCAUGUAAUUAAUUAGGAUUUUUCUUUUUUAAUUUUGAGACGAACUUAAUAGAAAAAAUGUAGUCACUUUAGGAUUUCCCUUUUAAAAUAAAUGAGGCGAGCCUCUCCAAAUAAAUAAAUUGCGGGGCCCUCAGUAAAUAUUUAAGAAUAUCUAGAAAAAUUGGGAAGGGUAGUUUAGCGAAUUUCACGACCCUCCCGAAAGAUUACAACUCGCUAGACUCACUUUGCCUUAAUUAAUCUUACCUCCCUAAUCUCGGGUGUGCAUUUAUGCGACCCAAAUCCAAAUCUCGACAGAGUUAAAAUGUGUCGACGACCACGGAUACACUGGCUGUGACGUAGUCCGAGAUAUGUUUUCACAAUAUUGUAAUUCUCUGUAAAUAAUAACAAUAAUAAUUUGAAUAAAAGCGGUAAAAAGUAAAAUUGGCACAUAGGUUCUUCAUGUAAUAAAAUGGGAUAAAUAAGCUAAAUAUGACAAUUGUGCGACCGUGCUAGAACCACGUAACUCGGGAAUGCCUACCACCCUCUCCCGGGUAAACAGAAUUCCAUAUCCAGAUUUCUGGUGCGCGGACUGUAUAGCAGAGUCAUUCUUUUCCUCGAUUUGGGAUUUAACUGGUGACUUGGGACACCACAAAUUUCCCAAGUGGCGACUCUGAAUCUUUAAUACAUAAUCCCGUUUCGAUUUUUCUUUAAUUGGAAAACCUCCCUUGCGCCUUCGGGCGUCGUAAAAAGGAGGUGUGAUAGCUCUGGAGACUCUUCUGGGGAUAUAUAACCCAGAACCACUGGUUCAGGGUUAGAAGUUCGAGCUUAAAUAAAUUGUUAUGUUUGGCUUCAUCUGAUUUUGUUAUAUUAUUUGUUCUUACUUUGCUAGUUGCAUUUUUACCACUUUGAUAUUGUUGAACUGUAUUAUAAAUUAUCUACUUGCGCACCCCCUCUAAGUCUUCUGAAUAAAACCUCGGGAAUCGCGGAUACAUGCCCCAUUUUUUGUUGACAUAAAGCCCGUGGGCCUGGGCUCCCGGUGAAGGAUUAUCAGUCACCUAUAUUUAAGAAUGGGGAGGGUCCAGUAGCUAAAGCGGAAAAAGCAUUGCUCCCGGUACGCUACCCCUUCCCAACUCGAGUUGUCCGCUCGUUUUAUGUCCAGUCUAGAUACUCCUCACACCCAAGGCAUUAAACCUAGUACGACAAGACUUCAUGCCGGAUCCCUAGUAGGAACGUUUAUUGGCAUCAUGUGCGUUUGACUUAGGAGACUCAACAUAGGGGUUGGGUCCGUCUAGGACAAGCGACCUAAAGUGCAAAGACCAUCCCAUUGCAUCUUGUUUGUUUCAUGCAUUUAUUUGCUUCAGACUGGCAUGUUGACCGGCUUUGAAUACUAGAAAAUCGUGAAAAUAAAAAAGAAAAAAAACUAGCAGUAUAGAGUGUUAAUUACAUGUUUUUAGAAAAUCAAUUUCCAAAUGCUGUCAAAACUCUGCCGGAAUUUUGAGAAAAUAAAAAAAAUGUUAUAUUAGUUUUACUAAAAAGCAAAGGAAAAAUAGAAAGAAAAAAAGAGUCUUUAUUUUUAGUUUAGGAAAAAUAGGUUGUUUUAGUUUUGUUGAAAAUGAAAAAAAAAGUCUUUGUUUUUAGUUUGGAAAAAAUAGGUUGUUUUAGUUUAUGUUGAAAAUGAAAAAAAAAAGAGUCAUUAUUUUGUCUUGUUUUCAAAAAAUAGAUCUUUUUUAGUUUGGGAAAAAUAGGUUGUUUUAGUUUUUGUUGAAAAUGAAAAAAAAGAGUCAUUGUUUUGUCUUGUUUUCAAAAAAUAGAAAAGGAAAAUAGCUUGUCUUGCCAUGAAAAAUGAAAAUAAAAAAAAAGUCUUGUUUUUCUAAAAUAGUUAUUUUAUUUUACCUAUUUAUGAAAUGCCAAAAUUAAAAAUAAAUAAAAGAGACUUGUUUUUAAAAAUAGUUAUUUUAUUUGUUUAUAAAAUGCCAAAGAUAAAAAUGAAAAAGAGUCGUGCUUUUGAAAGUAGUUUUGUUAUUUGCUUAUGAAGUAUAAAGAAUCAUGUUAUAAAGUAGUUCAGUUAAUUUGCCCGAACUACGCCGGUUUGAUUCUCACCGGAUGUGAGAUACGUAGGCAACCCUCAUCGGGUCCAACCUCCCCUUUGCAAAAAAUAGCAGCUGUCAAAAUUUUUAUUUUUCAUCAUAAAGAAGUCGGGUGAUGCAGUCUUGUGUCAAGCAUAGCCGAAUGUUCCCGAAAGGGACGCCAGAAGGCUGACUUUGUAUAAACAGCCACCUCUGGGUCAUUUUUUAGAUUUGGUCCAUUUGACCCACACAGCCUUAGUAUCUUCGUCCCCGAGGCGCUGAAAGACCGUGUUUGCAAAUAUCUGGUUUUCUAUUUUCGAAAAAAAAACAAGAAAAGAGUCAUAAAUUAGUCGGUGAUGCUGUCUUUGUCAUAAAUAGCCGAAUGUUCCCGAAAGGGACGCCGGAAGGCGGACUUUGCAUUAACAGCCACAUUUAAUCAUUAUUUUGGAAUUUUGGACAAUUAGCUAACACAACCUUAAAAUCUUCGCCCCCCGAGGUGCUGAAAGGCCAUGUUUGCAAUACUAGGUUUUUUAUUUAAAAAAGAAGAAGGAAUCAUAAAUUAGCCAUGAUGAUGCAUGCGGUUGGAGCGAAAACAUGUUAGAAAUGGCUAACUGCCUAAGAGCAUUGCAUUCCCCAACGUGCAAUUGCAAUAUCUGUUAAAACUCUAACGCUGACAAGUCUGUUAUUUUUCCAAAUUCUAUCAGUUAGUUAGAGCGUACUGCCACCAAACCAUUAUCAGACAAGAUCUAAAGGGCAUAUACCCAAGAGCAUGACCAAUUCUGAGAACAGUGUUGAGGAAGAGAGGCCCAAGGCACAUUUGCUAAAAGAAGCCUUGGAAAAGAUAGAGAAAAUGGGGUUGGAGAUUAAAUCAAUGCACUUGGCCUUGGCUAGAGUGCAAAAGGGGACUGAAUCACCCAUUACUCCUACUACUCCACCUGGGCACACGCCAGAAUACCCUCACCCUGGCCCGUCAACAAACUUCCCGAGUCAGCACUACUUCCAGGGAAGAAACCCUUAUGACUCCCAAGAUCCACCACCCAACUAGAAUCAGCCACCUCCAAAAUAUGCCCUUUUUCACGGGACCCCCACUAGCCACACUGCAAAGAUCUACUAGUGGGUCGUUGUUUCAGGCUCACGGGGCACAAUAUUGUCCUCAGAACCUGCAUUUAAUACAUCUGAACCCCAUACCCAAAAUCUCAAAAUAAAGGUCCCGGCAGAGAGUGAAAAGCCAUCCAGGAAUCAAAACGGGACGAGGUAAUGCGGAAAGUUAAAAGCCUAGAGCAAACCUUCAGGAACAUGCAUGGAUUAGGCAACCAAGUGAGCGUAGCCUACAAGGAUUUAUUCCCUUUUCCUGACGUCCAGUUGCCGUUAGGGUUCAAGAUGCCCAAGUUCUAUCAAUAUGAGGGCAUGGAGAUUCUAUGGCACAUUUACGGGGUUUCUGUAGAAAAAUGAUAGGAACGGGUGGCAAACAUGAGCUACUGAUAGCUUACUUUGGCUAGAGCUUAAGCGGAUCGGCACUGGAAUGGUAUACCAGACAGGAUCCUGGUAGGUGGUACACCUGGGACGAUCUAGCGCAGCCUUUCGCAGGUCACUUCCAAUACAAUCUCGAGAUAGUCCCUGACCGUGUCACAUUACUGAGGACUGGGAAGAAGCCCAAACAAAGCUUCCGUAAAUUCGGGUUCCGAUGGAGAGAACGGGCAUCCAAGGUUGAUCUUCCCAUGAGAGAGGGGGAAAUGGUGGACUACUUCCUGCAAACACUGGAUCCAACUUAUUUUGGUCACUUGGUGACGACGGUUGGAAAAUCCUUCAAUGAAGUAAUAAAGAUAGGGGUUAUGAUAGAGAAGGGACUAAAGUCCUAUAAAACCCUAAAUUACGCAGCGCUUAGGGCAACAACUCAGGCUAUUCAAAGCGACACGGGAGGUGCGUUGGGGAAGAAAAGGAGAGAAGAAGUGGCCACGCUCGAAGCUAGCGAUUGGUCUAGAUUCUGCCAGCACUACUAUGACCAACCUAGUCCCCACCAGCAAAAUUAUCCACAUUCCCCAUAUAUCCCACCACAAUACCACUAUCCACCGCAAGAACCACACUUUUCCGUAUACCGAUCCCAAACCUAUACUCAACCCCCGGCUCGUCCACAAUGGCGCGCGUGCCUGUUCCCCAAAACACAUAUACACCUCCACAAAAUGCAUAAUCGCCUCCAUAAAACACCUAUCACCACCCAGGUCCAACAGGAACCCUCCAGGGGUAGGUUUCCGAGAAAAUCCGGCAUACAGAAACCUAUACCGCUUUAUUUCACAAGUUAAAGCGGUUGGGUUUGUUGAGUCCUGUAUAGAAUAGGUUGUCAAAUCCCCCACCCCCAAAUGUGGACCAAUCGCAAAGCUGCGAAUACUAUUCGAGAAAGUUGGGGCAUGAUACAGAAAAAUGUUGGAAGCUGAAGCGGGCGAUACAAGAUCUUAUCAACGCCAACAAAAUUGAGGUUCAGGCGCCAGAGGCACCUAACAUUAACCAGAACACAUUGCCCGCACAUCAUGAAACCCAUGCAGCUGUAUUAGAAGCUGGAGAGGGUUCUAGCAGGGCCGAUAUGCAGUUUGCGGGGCCUAGGGCCAACCUUAGCAACCAGAGAGCAACUCCUCUCCUUACCCGGAGGGAGUCUUGGUAGUAGGCCUUGAUUUAUCUUUCUCGUUUUCUAGAUUAUUCCAGGGUUUAAUCCAUAUUUUGUUUUUUAGCAAAAGGGGGAACCCUGUUAUCCAUUGUUUUAUAAAAAUAAAAGUUUUUUAUUCUUGUUUUGUUUAAUGUUGUUUCUUCUUCUUUUGCUUUCUGAAGGUUCUAUUUUACUAGACCUGAUGACAUGGCAUGCACGACGGAUAUUCGGCCCAUUCUAAAUAAUCAAUCUAAUUCCAAGCUAAUUAUACAAGAGUUCGAUUCUGAUGAUGAAUCGGAAUAUGACAAGGAUGAAGCCUUUGAAGAGGUAAGUAGGGAAUUGAGCCAAUACGAAGAAAAGCCUAAGCCCAAGUUAGAUGACACUAAGGCUGUCAAUCUGGGGAAUGCCGACAAUAUGAGGGAAACCAAAAUCAGCAUCCAUAUUGAAACGGAUUCUCCCACAUCAUGAAAUUUGAAGUAGGGCAGCAGGUAUUGAAACGGAUUCUUCCGCAUCAGGUCGAGGCAAAAGGGAAAGUCUUCCCCAAUCCGGCAAGGACCAUUUGUUAUUACCAGGUGUUAUCCAAUGGCGCUUUAUGCUUAACGGAUGUCUAAGGAAGAUGCAUUGACAUGGCUAUGAAUUCUGACGCAGUCAAGAGAUACUACGUGUAAAUUCCUUGAUUGUAUUUAUCAUUAUUUUGUUUGUUUGUACUUGGUGUUCAUCCAAUAACGAAAUGACGGAGGCAAUUUUUUCUUCUACCUAAACACUUUCCACCUUUGUUUCCCCUUUGAGUCGUAUUUGUUCUUUCAUACCCCUCUCUUGGAAUCGUUAAAGAAAACAAAAAAAUGUAAAGAAAAAGAGAAAAAUGAUAAGAAAAUCAUAAGAAAACAAAUAUUAGGAACUACGUUUGACCUGAUUCCUAGGGAAAGGAUACGUAGGCGCCUCACGAAUCGGUCAUAGUGUGACGCACGCGAGAAGAAAAAAAUUCCCAAGCACAAAACUGUGGUUUGCAUUUGGCACUGUUGAUUUUCAGAUUGAAUUCUUGGGUUUCUGAUAUUGGUGUUGCUGUUGGAUUAUUAUUUAAUCGAUUUAUUGGAUGUGGAAUCAUCUCUGUUGGUUUUAAAAUUUGUGCCUGGGUGUUCAAUAUGCUACUGUUCUUGAUAUUUGCUAUUGUUUCUUUGCUACUGCUGAUCCUUUUCUUUUCCUAUCUUAUUUCUCUAAUCCAGGUAUUCACUUGAGUUAAAUACUGGUGUA
This 8800-nucleotide long non-coding RNA is filed under the name Nicotiana benthamiana. RNAcentral describes it as "long non-coding RNA (NBEN_LNC004304)". The record is from RNAcentral. Lineage: Eukaryota; Viridiplantae; Streptophyta; Magnoliopsida; Solanales; Solanaceae.